AUGCGCCCCUUGAUGAGGAAUUGGAAAGAAGAGGCAGCGGAGAAAAGAGACAAGUACGACUUUCAAUAUGGUCGUGGUGUUGGGAUGAGGGUCAUAGAGAAAUUGAACAAAAGCGCCUUAUUCUACAAAGCCGGUGAUAUUGAAAAAGAAGAAGAUAAUGAGUAUGGUGAAAAUAGUGAAACUAGAAACUAUGGUGGAAAACCUCGUAAAGAAUUUGUAUAUAAUCCUGAUAUGGACAAUUUCAAAACACCAGGAAAAAAGAAUGUGCAAGAGGAUGAUGAAGAUGAUAUUAAUGAUUCUGAAGAGAAGAGACCUUAUUAUUGCACACCUGAUUAUUAG
Molecule: ribosomal RNA, 339 nt
Filed under: Triticum aestivum (bread wheat)
Lineage: Eukaryota; Viridiplantae; Streptophyta; Magnoliopsida; Poales; Poaceae
Description: partial small subunit ribosomal RNA
Source: RNAcentral